This 480-nucleotide ribosomal RNA is filed under the name Munida valida. Its description in RNAcentral is "partial 12S ribosomal RNA". The record is from RNAcentral. Lineage: Eukaryota; Metazoa; Arthropoda; Malacostraca; Decapoda; Munididae.
CGCCAUCAGAGACGCACUCACACUGACGACAUGGUUCUACAGAAACCAGGAUUAGAUACCCUAUUAUAUUUAAUUGAAAUUAAGUAAAUCUUGAUUAUUAACAGAUAUAUUCUUUAAAAUCAAAGAAUUUGGCGGUAUUUUAGUCUUUUUAGAGGAACCUGUUUUAUAAUCGAUAAACCACGUAGAAUUUUACUUAUUUAAUUAGUUUGUAUACCGUCAUUAUUAGAUAACUUUUAUAGAAAUAGAUAUUAAAAUUUAAAAUUUAGAGAAUAUUAGAUCAAGGUGCAGCUUGUAGGUAAGGAAAAAUGGGUUACAAUAAUAUUUAUUAAACGGAUUUUAAUGUUAAAUUGUUAAAUGAAGGUGGAUUUAAUUGUAUAUUUUUUUAAUAAGGGGGGUUGAUAUUAGCUCUAGAAUAUGUACAUAUCGCCCGUCGCUAGACCAAGUCUCUGCUACCGUAGAGUGCGUCUCUGAGCGGGCUGG